RNAcentral lists this ribosomal RNA (496 nucleotides) under uncultured bacterium. Its description in RNAcentral is "partial 16S ribosomal RNA". It matches the Rfam family "Bacterial small subunit ribosomal RNA", at positions 29 to 507 of the family's 1533-position model. The record is from RNAcentral.
ACGAACGCUGGCGGCGUGCCUCAUACAUGCAAGUUGAGCGCUGAAGGUUGGUACUUGUACCGACUGGAUGGGCAGCGAACGGGUGAGUAACGCGUGGGGAAUCUGCCUUUGAGCGGGGGACAACAUUUGGAAACGAAUGCUAAUACCGCAUAAAAACUUUAAACACAAGUUUUAAGUUUGAAAGAUGCAAUUGCAUCACUCAAAGAUGAUCCCGCGUUGUAUUAGCUAGUUGGUGAGGUAAAGGCUCACCAAGGCGAUGAUACAUAGCCGACCUGAGAGGGGGAUCGGCCACAUUGGGACUGAGACACGGCCCAAACUCCUACGGGAGGCAGCAGUAGGGAAUCUUCGGCAAUGGACGAAAGUCUGACCGAGCAACGCCGCGUGAGUGAAGAAGGUUUUCGGAUCGUAAAACUCUGUUGGUAGAGAAGAACGUUGGUGAGAGUGGAAAGCUCAUCAAGUGACGGUAACUACCCAGAAAGGGACGGCUAACUACGUG